This 75-nucleotide transfer RNA is filed under the name Anguilla anguilla (European eel). Its description in RNAcentral is "tRNA-OTHER". Lineage: Eukaryota; Metazoa; Chordata; Actinopteri; Anguilliformes; Anguillidae. The record is from RNAcentral.
UGCAGUGUAGCACAGUGGGUAACGAACUGGGCUUGUAACCAAAAGGUCGCAGGUUCGAUUCUGCGGGCGUUGUAC